GUGCAUGCUUCAGCAGCACGUAUACUGAAAUUGGAGCGAUACAGAGAAGCUUAGCAUGGCCUCUGUGCAAGGAUGACACAAAUUCAUGAAGCAUUCCAUAUAAUU
Molecule: small nuclear RNA, 105 nt
Organism: Octodon degus (degu)
Lineage: Eukaryota; Metazoa; Chordata; Mammalia; Rodentia; Octodontidae
Source: RefSeq, a predicted model, not a curated record